This 491-nucleotide ribosomal RNA is filed under the name uncultured bacterium. RNAcentral describes it as "partial 16S ribosomal RNA". It matches the Rfam family "Bacterial small subunit ribosomal RNA", at positions 29 to 507 of the family's 1533-position model. The record is from RNAcentral.
AGUGAACGCUGGCGGUAGGCCUACACAUGGCAAUUCAACCGCAACCCCAUAAGAAGCUUGUCCUUCGGGGGGCGGGUGGGGGGCGGGGGGGGGAAAACACGGAAACCACUUUUUCGGGGGGGGUAAAGUAGGGGAACCUACGGCAAUUACGCAUACCAACCUCGGGGGAAAAGAGGGGGACCUUGGAACCUGCGGCGAUUGAUUGAGCGAUGUCGGAUUAGCUAGUUGGCGGGGUAAAGGCCCACCAAGGCGACGAUCCGUAGCUGGUCUGAGAGGAUGAUCAGCCACACUGGAACUGAGACACGGUCCAGACUCCUACGGGAGGCAGCAGUGGGGAAUAUUGGACAAUGGGCGCAAGCCUGAUCCAGCCAUACCGCGUGGGUGAAGAAGGCCUUCGGGUUGUAAAGCCCUUUUGUUGGGAAAGAAAAGCAGCAGGUUAAUACCCCGCUGUUCUGACGGUACCCAAAGAAUAAGCACCGGCUAACUUCGUG